RNAcentral lists this ribosomal RNA (497 nucleotides) under uncultured bacterium. RNAcentral's name for it is "partial 16S ribosomal RNA". It matches the Rfam family "Bacterial small subunit ribosomal RNA", at positions 28 to 507 of the family's 1533-position model. The record is from RNAcentral.
GAUGAACGCUGGCGGCGUGCCUAAUACAUGCAAGUAGAACGCUGAAGGAAGGAGCUUGCUCUUUCCGGAUGAGUUGCGAACGGGUGAGUAACGCGUAGGUAACCUGCCUGGUAGCGGGGGAUAACUAUUGGAAACGAUAGCUAAUACCGCAUAACAGUAGAUGUUGCAUGAUAUCUACUUAAAAGGUGCAAUUGCACCACUACCAGAUGGACCUGCGUUGUAUUAGCUAGUUGGUGAGGUAACGGCUCACCAAGGCGACGAUACAUAGCCGACCUGAGAGGGUGAUCGGCCACACUGGGACUGAGACACGGCCCAGACUCCUACGGGAGGCAGCAGUAGGGAAUCUUCGGCAAUGGACGGAAGUCUGACCGAGCAACGCCGCGUGAGUGAAGAAGGUUGUCGGAUCGUAAAGCUCUGUUGUAAGAGAAGAACGAGUGUGAGAGUGGAAAGUUCACACUGUGACGGUAUCUUACCAGAAAGGGACGGCUAACUACGUG